This 1141-nucleotide long non-coding RNA is filed under the name Piliocolobus tephrosceles (Ugandan red Colobus). Its description in RNAcentral is "lncRNA (ENSPTEG00000006397.1)". Lineage: Eukaryota; Metazoa; Chordata; Mammalia; Primates; Cercopithecidae. The record is from RNAcentral.
AGAAUUAAAUAAAACAAAAAAUGAAAUAAUUUUAACAAAACAAAUAGAAGAUGAAUAUAGUGUGUGGAGUGCAGAUAUGUCUGAUGAUUAUAUAGAUUUAGAUCCUGAUGACUUUAUUUCUUUUUAUAGUUCAAAAUGUAAAUAUGUUAAUGUAAAAGAUAAGGAAGUUGUUGAAAGUGAGAGUCAAAAUGAAGAAACAUGGUCGGCGGCAUCAUAUAACGAUAAAAAUGAAAAAAAUUAUGAGCAAUUGUAUAAACAAAAAACAAAGAAUAAUAAUAAUGACACGUAUUUAAAUUUGAAUAAAAGUGAGAAUAAUAAUAAAAACAACAAAUUUCCAUAUAUUUAUUCAACUAGUAAACGUUGCGUUGGCAACCGUUCUGCUUCUAGCGAUUCUUCUUCAUCCUUUUGUUCUUCAUAUAGUAAUUCUGAAAAAAAUAUAACAAAACUAAGUUAUUAUUAUAAUGGAGAUUUUUUUAUAUACUCUAGUGGGGAUGAUACAGAUACGUCUUCGAGCGAAGAUGAAAGUGCUAAUGAUGAAAAUGCAAAUGAUGGUGAUGAUGAUGAUGAUGAUGGACCAGAAGAAGAAAUCAUUUUUAAUCCAUUUGCUUGGAAAAAAUUUGAAAAACAUAUACCAACAGAAUAUAAAGGUUACUUAGAAACGUUAGAAAAAGAACUUGAUGCAUUACCAGUCGAAGUAGAUAUAAAAGAUAUACAAUUAAUUAUAAAAUCGAAUAUAUAUAAAAUAUUUUUACAUGUAAUGAAUAAACACAAAAACGUUUUAACUAUUUUUGAUAAAAAAUUAGAUGAAUUUAUUGAAAUAGAUGUGAAACAAUUAAGAUGGAUUACAACCAUAUUGAAUAAAACAUCGAACAGUUUUAAUAAUAUAGAUAUAUGUAGGAUAUGGUUUGAACAUAUAUUUCAUUACAAUACUAAAGUGUUUAUAAAUUCAGAAAGGGAAUUUAUUAAUAAAAUAAAAUGUUCCAAAUUUUUUGAAAAAAAUAAUAGAACUUAUUUAAAUAAUAUAUUAAAAAACAUAAAAAAAUGGAAGUGUUAUCAUGAAAGAAAAGCGCAAUUAAUUAAAGCCAAUAAAGACAUUAAUAAUAAUGGAUGUUCAAAUAGUAAUAACGGUAAUAAUCAGCAC